AUUGAACGCUGGCGGCAGGCUUAACACAUGCAAGUCGAGCGGGGUGAUGGUGCUUGCACUAUCACUUAGCGGCGGACGGGUGAGUAAUGCUUAGGAAUCUGCCUAUUAGUGGGGGACAACAUCUCGAAAGGGAUGCUAAUACCGCAUACGUCCUACGGGAGAAAGCAGGGGAUUACUUGUGACCUUGCGCUAAUAGAUGAGCCUAAGUCGGAUUAGCUAGUUGGUGGGGUAAAGGCCUACCAAGGCGACGAUCUGUAGCGGGUCUGAGAGGUUGAUCCGCCACACUGGGACUGAGACCCGGCCCAGACUCCUACGGGAGGCAGCAGUGGGGAAUAUUGGACAAUGGGGGGAACCCUGAUCCAGCCAUGCCGCGUGUGUGAAGAAGGCCUUAUGGUUGUAAAGCACUUUAAGCGAGGAGGAGGCUCUUUUGGUUAAUACCCAAGAUGAGUGGACGUUACUCGCAGAAUAAGCACCGGCUAACUCUGUGCCAGCCGCCGCGGUAA
RNAcentral lists this ribosomal RNA (503 nucleotides) under uncultured bacterium. RNAcentral's name for it is "partial 16S ribosomal RNA". It matches the Rfam family "Bacterial small subunit ribosomal RNA", at positions 30 to 523 of the family's 1533-position model. The record is from RNAcentral.